AUAAAGAUAAGCUAAAUUUAAGCUAAUGGGCUCAUACCUCAUUUAUGAGAGCAAUCUCUCUUUAUA
This 66-nucleotide transfer RNA is filed under the name Cherax bicarinatus. RNAcentral describes it as "tRNA-Met". The record is from RNAcentral. Lineage: Eukaryota; Metazoa; Arthropoda; Malacostraca; Decapoda; Parastacidae.